This 253-nucleotide ribosomal RNA is filed under the name uncultured bacterium. RNAcentral describes it as "partial 16S ribosomal RNA". It matches the Rfam family "Bacterial small subunit ribosomal RNA", at positions 524 to 776 of the family's 1533-position model. The record is from RNAcentral.
UACAGAGGUCCCAAGCGUUGUUCGGAUUCACUGGGCGUAAAGGGUGCGUAGGCGGUCGGGUAAGUCUGACGUGAAAUCUUCAAGCUCAACUUGGAAACUGCGUCCGAUACUAUUCGGCUAGAGGAAUGGAGGGGAGACUGGAAUACUUGGUGUAGCAGUGAAAUGCGUAGAUAUCAAGUGGAACACCAGUGGCGAAGGCGGGUCUCUGGACAUUUCCUGACGCUGAGGCACGAAAGCCAGGGGAGCAAACGGG